RNAcentral lists this ribosomal RNA (119 nucleotides) under Microcebus murinus (gray mouse lemur). The record is from RNAcentral. Lineage: Eukaryota; Metazoa; Chordata; Mammalia; Primates; Cheirogaleidae.
GUCUACGGCCACACCACCCCGAACGCGCCCCAUCUCGUCUGAUCUCGGAAGCUAAGCAGGGUCGGGCCUGGUUACUACUUGGAUGGGAGACCACCUGGGAAUACCAGGUGCUGUAGGCU